RNAcentral lists this ribosomal RNA (253 nucleotides) under uncultured bacterium. RNAcentral's name for it is "partial 16S ribosomal RNA". It matches the Rfam family "Bacterial small subunit ribosomal RNA", at positions 524 to 776 of the family's 1533-position model. The record is from RNAcentral.
UACGUAGGGGGCUAGCGUUGUCCGAAUUUAUUGGGCGUAAAGAGCUCGUAGGCGGUCUGUCGCGUCUGCUGUGAAAACUCGGGGCUUAACCCCGGGCCUGCAGUGGGUACGGGCAGACUAGAGUGCGGUAGGGGAGACUGGAAUUCCUGGUGUAGCGGUGAAAUGCGCAGAUAUCAGGAGGAACACCGGUGGCGAAGGCGGGUCUCUGGGCCGUAACUGACGCUGAGGAGCGAAAGCAUGGGGAGCGAACAGG